CGGCGAGUGAAGCGGGAUGAGCUCAAAUUUGAAAGCUGGCAGUAAUGUCCGCGUUGUAAUCUCGAGAGUUGUUUUCCGCGCUGGACCACGUACAAGUUCCUUGGAAUAGGAUGUCAUAGAGGGUGAAAAUCCCGUACUUGAUGUGGACGCCCAGUGCUUUGUGAUACAUCUUCGAAGAGUCGAGUUGUUUGGGAAUGCAGCUCAAAAUGGGUGGUAAAUUCCAUCUAAAGCUAAAUAUUGGGGAGAGACCGAUAGCGAACAAGUACCGUGAGGGAAAGAUGAAAAGCACUUUGGAAAGAGAGUUAAACAGUACGUGAAAUUGUCAAAAGGGAAGCAUUUGAAGUCAGACGUGUAUUGUAGUAUUCAACCUUGCUUUUGCUUGGUGUAUUUGCUAUUUUACAGGCCAACAUCAGUUUUGAAUGACGGAUAAGGGUAUAAAGAAUGUGGCAUCUUUGGAUGUGUUAUAGCUUUUUACUGGAUACGUCGUUUGGGACUGAGGAACGCAGCUCGCCGUAAGGCAGACCUUCGGGUACUUUCGAGCUUAGGAUGUUGGCGUAAUGGCUUUA
This 566-nucleotide ribosomal RNA is filed under the name Exobasidium pachysporum. Its description in RNAcentral is "LSU rRNA". It matches the Rfam family "Eukaryotic large subunit ribosomal RNA", at positions 87 to 642 of the family's 3401-position model. The record is from RNAcentral. Lineage: Eukaryota; Fungi; Basidiomycota; Exobasidiomycetes; Exobasidiales; Exobasidiaceae.